AUGGAUAUUGAGCCGGCCAUUUCUAAGCCGCCAAGCCCAGCUAAGCCCGCUGAAGAUAAGACUGACGACGUCGUCGUCACCGGGUUUGGUUACACAACACCGGACAACCCCACUGUCUUAUCCAAGCACAGCGCCAAGGAAGAGAAAUCUGCUGAUGAUAAAGGCAAGUGGAAGGUAGACUUAGAGAGCUAUGCCCAGUUCAGUGCACAAGACACCCACUCUGGUUAUUUGAACCAUCUAUACACCAGCCGUGAUUUUGAAGCCGGCUUAGUCAAUUUGAUGAAGGAACGCUAUGAGGCUAAACUGACUGAGAAAAAUGCACAGCUGAAUGAUCUGAAGGCCAACAUUAAAACUCAGCAAUCUGAGACAUCCAAGGCCAAAUCAGAACUGAAGACUGCUUUAGAAAAAAUUGAGCAGCUGAAACAAAACUUCAACACUGACAAAGAUGGCCGGGAGACCAAAAAGGUAGCUCUAUUGAAGAGAGCAGAGGAUGCUGAAGCCACACUUAAACCGGUGACUGACGAGUUGUCCAGUUUAAGACACUAG
RNAcentral lists this ribosomal RNA (546 nucleotides) under Triticum aestivum (bread wheat). RNAcentral describes it as "partial small subunit ribosomal RNA". The record is from RNAcentral. Lineage: Eukaryota; Viridiplantae; Streptophyta; Magnoliopsida; Poales; Poaceae.